Non-coding RNA from Pelobates cultripes (western spadefoot toad), 76 nucleotides. Lineage: Eukaryota; Metazoa; Chordata; Amphibia; Anura; Pelobatidae. The record is from the annotation of a GenBank genome assembly.
UGCCCUUUUUCGGUUAUCGUGGUACUGAUGCUGUGUAUGCAAAAAGGUACAGUACUGUGAUAACUGAAGAAUGGUG